GAGAAGAUGAAGAUUCUGGCGGACCUAUGAAGGUUCCGGCCAGAUCUUCAUCUUCCCCGCCCGUUCAUCCAUGAAUCCGGCGGAGGAAGUUAGAGAGAGAUGAGAGAAGUGAGAAGUUAGAGAGAGAAAGAACAAUAGCAAAUGAAAAAACCGGCGCUCCCCUCCUUUUAUAGGCCAGUGAACCGGACCGGUCCAAGACCGGUCCAAUUCCCUUCAUUCCUGGCCGUUUGAUCUAGGGUUUGAUCCCUUGGAUCAAUCCUGUGGUUCCUGUGCGUCCGGACCUCUUAGGCUUGGGCUUGGGCUUUUUCCUUUUGGUUUUGCUGCGUUUUUGCUAUUUUCUUGCUAUUCACACCAUGCUUUCUUGCUGUUUGAACCACUGUUCGUUCUAAUUUUCUCGUAAAAAUUCCUAAAAAAUUUCUAUGUGUUUCUUGAUACAUUUUUGACUAUUUUGUGAUUUUUUUUUCAUGUUAUAAAAUUGAUAAAAAUAUAUGUAUUGCUUUCUUGAUUAUUUUCUUUUCUUUAGUUGAAUUUCAUGCAAUUUCUCGUUUUUUCCGUUCGUGAUAUCUUGAUCUAUGAUAUGAACGUUCAAUGUGCAAUUUCAUGAUAAAUGCCACUGUUUGUGUGUGUGUUUUGCUGUUUUCAACAUGAUUUGUUAAUUUCUUGCCUUGCAAGUAUUACUUUCCUCUUUGUAUUGUGGUUAUUGUCGUCAUUUUUUACCGUUUACCAUAUAUUCCUUUGUUUGCUCUCUUCGCCAUAUUUUCAUGCCUUAUUUUACUAACCAUUUUUUGUUCUAUGUCUCAUCCAUUUUAUAGCAUUUCAUCAUUUCAUUCCUAUUCAUUUUUUUUUUUUAGGUGGACAUGUAAUAAUUCUAGGUAGUUUAAUUUCCUUUUAGUUUCUUGCAAGACCAUAGCAUGUAAACUAGGGCAAAGUGUAAAGGACAAUGGACUCUCUAUAAUGAUGUACACCGACACAAGCACCGACACGCACACACGUUGUAUGUUUACCGCUUAGAUGUAUGUUUAGGAAACGCAAUACUUAGAAAAAAUAUCAUUUUCCCGGAAAUAACUCCAUAACUCAAAUCUUUCCUAAUAAACCUUGGAGUCAAAACUCCAUUGUAUUUUCCUUUAUUUUCUUAAUCAAAUUCAAAUGAAUCUUAAUUUCUACUUAGACAUUUUUUUGUUAAUAAUUGAACCAACAAUUCACUAUCUUUUCCUCUCAUGCCUUUACGGCCUCUUUCUCAUCUUCAAAACCAUUUUCAAAAACUAAAAUCAAUUGAAACACACCAAAAAUACUUUUGGAAGAGAACUACAUGGAAUUUUGAUCCCUUAAAAGGGUAUGUAGGCAAGAGGUCAAAACCUCUCCAAGUCGAAUAAAAUAAAAUCUCAAACAUUUCCUCCCUCCAUUCUUAAACUCUUUUCAAUAAAUAAGCAUAAAAAUAAAGCGUAGACAUAAAGCUAGGAAAGCGGUUCCUAUAGAAUACUAUAGUCGUUACGGGUGCCUAACACCUUCCUGUAACGAAAAUGACCCCCGAACUUAGAGUUUCUAAGGGUUUUCUCAAUUUUACCCUUCCCAAGAAAAAAUAGAGAAUAUCAAAGAUUUAAAGGUUCAAGCCUAAUUAAUGACUUGAUACCCCAAAAUCGUGAUAACAACCCCUUCAUCUCCAUAUUCUUCUGAAGCAGAUUUAGUAUUACCCCAAUCCCCCUUCCCUAGACAAGAAGCAUACCUUAUUGUAAAUGUAUCAAUUAUAUCAAUAAAAUGAGAUGUUAUAUGCUAUAUUUUUGUUCCUUUAUUUUUGUUUAUAUUUUCAUUUAUUUUAUGAUUCUGGCAUCUAAAGAAUAUAAUGUCUUCAAAUACUAAUUAAAUUCGGCGUGAAUUCGAAUAAAAGUUGUGUAUUAAAUAAAUAAAUUUGAAUAAAGACUAAUUAAACCCAUCAUGAAUUCGAAUAAAAAUUGCGUAUUGAAUAAAUAAAUUCGAAUAAAGUCAAUUAGAAUAAAAGCUGUGUAUUGAAUAAAUAAAUUCGAAUAAAGAUUAAUUAAACUCACCUUCGAAUAAAAAUUGAGUAUUGAAUAAAUAAAUUCGAAUAAAGUGACACAAUUACACAAAAUCAAUUAAAAAAUACACAAUUUUAUUUAGUUUUAAUUUCAUCUACAAUACAUUCUCCCUAAAUAUAUGUGGUAUCAUCAUGAUGUUGGAUUUAAAUUAAAUUCUUGAAAGUUUGCCAAAAACGUUGGCAUUGAAUUGUCUUAUACUCAGCGUAGUGAUUUGCAUCGCCCAUUGAAAAGUCAAAAGAAUGAAGAGAACACAACACAUGUAUUCUACAAAAUCAACUCUAUAAGUUAUCACAUCGAAUUCCCUCAUAUAAGAUGAGUCAUCACAUAAAGGAAUGCAUUCCAAGAGGUUGCUUUGAAUUGAAUCUUACUACCCUGCCAACUAACAAGUCUCAAUUGACAGAGGAGCAAAAUUCAAUUCAAAGAAACCUCUUAGAGGUGCAUUCCCGUCAUCACAUAAAGGAAUGCAUUCCAAAAGGUUGUUUUGAACUUAAUCUUACUGUCCUGCCAACUGACAAAUUUCAAUUGAAAGAGGAGCAUGGUCAAGCUCAAAAGAACCUCUUAGAGGUGGAUUCCCUUCCGUGACACUAAUAGUUGAUUCUGCAGAAUACAUGUUGUGUUUUCUUAAUCUUUUGACUUUUCAAAGAGGCUUUCAAAUCACUACAUUCAGUAUAAAACACUUCAAUACCAACAUUUUCAGCAAACUAACAAGAAUUAAACUUAAAUUCCAACAAAAUAAAGACACUAGAUUAUAAUGAUACUACCUAAUCAUAAUCUUCUGGUGGAAUCAAAUUGUUGAGAAUAUCUUCAGGCGAUAUCAGCAACGUGACAAACAUAUCGAUCCACGCGAACAUGUUAUGCUGCCAAAAAAUCGAGAACAUGCUCCCCACGUCGCCGUCGUUCGUUAACUCUAGCCGACUGAACGUUAUUCACCCCUCGUCUAACGUUGGAUGUUUGUACCAAAUGUAUUCUACCCUCCUUGUGUCUCCGGGGUCGAGUCUGAUUUCAUCUAGUUGAUUCUUGAGACCUUUUAACGUGACAUUAAUGUAUCAAACCUUGAACAUUUGAGGAUUUUCAUCGUUGAAGCGUGUGCAAAUAUUGAACAAAUCGACCAUUGUUUCAAAUCUACACAAUAAAAAAAUUAAACAAUCAAUGAAAAACUCAUUCAAACAUUUCAUCAAACACUUGGAGUGCAAAUUAUACAUAAACCCUAAAACUCAUAACUACAACAUAAACAUGCAAACAUCUAAACAAUUAAGCAAUAUAAGUCAUUUACAUGUAACUUUGUAUCAUUUCUUGAAAAAAAAUUAAAAUUAAAACAAAAUCCCUAAAACUAAAAAAAUCUAAUUUAAGAGGAAAAAUCUAACAUAUAAAUAUAAAAAGGUUAAUGGUGUUUGAUUAUGAAAACUUACUUGUUAUUGAAGGAAUUUUGGAUUUGGGUGAUUUGAGAGAGAUUUUGGAGAUUUUAGAUGGAACAUGAGGAAAUGAGGUUUUGUCUGCCUUUAAAACAUCACGCUCCGUGAGUUAACUCACGCAGCGUGACCUAACUCACGCAGUGUAAGUUAAGUCACGCAGGAUUAACACUAGCACGAGUUUAAAAUUUUGGUUGAAAAUAAGCAAAACGUGUUGAAAGAAGAGCAUAAUUCUAGAAGAAAAUAAACUAGUGCAGUAGGUUUGGAAGCUAAAAAUCAAGUUAGUCCAACCUAAAUGGAGUCAGGUCAAACAGGUAAAACAUCAGACGAAAUACAAAAAAGUUUUUUUUUUGAAGGAGACUAAAUACAAAAAGUUAUUAGGUGUUGUAAAUUAUUUUCUUUAUGAAUAAUUUUUCACAAUUUUCCUUAGUUGCUGCUACUCUACAUUUCUCUUGACGGCCAAUGAUGAAAGAGAAAUGAUAUUUGUACAAUUAUUUUUUAACAACUUUUGUGACAACUAUUUCUCUUAUACUUAUGUUAUCCUUUUACUUCCUCUCUUUAUUGCUUUAAUUUUUGUGUCAAUACCUCUUUUUUUUAUAAAAUUAUGGUUGUCCCAAAAAAUUAUCAAUCAAAUGGUUGUUCAAAUAAUACAACUCAUAAGGAAUAACCAAGAUUUUGUAGAGGAAAACACAUGAUGCAUUUGACAAGUUAAUUAAUUAGUUUUUUUUUCUUGGAGCAAGUUAAUUAAUUAGUUAAAAUAGCCACUUUUGGUAAAUGGAAUAUUUAAUCAUUACAACCAAGGUGUAAAAGUAGCCUACCUAAAUUUAUCAAUAAUUAUUUAUUUUUACAAUCAUAACAUAAAUUACUGUAAAUGGAAAUGUUAAAACCAUUGCUAAAAAAAUUGAUUGGAACGUGUUGAAAAUUGAAAGUGGACAAUAAAUAAUUUGGGUGCAUCAAGUUGGGUUCGUUUGUCUCGUUAACGUCACAAACAAUGAUACAAAAGAAGGAAAAUGUCUUUUCAUUUGGUCAUUUUCCCGCUUAAGAAUAUAGUAACUUUGAGUAUCAAAACUGUCCAAAAAUUUAUAUAUAAAUUUAUGAAAACUCCAAAAUUUCACCAUCUCUUCUUGAAGAUUACGAAGCAUAUGAAACGAUAUUCUUAGGGACUGUUUGGAUGAUACUAAAAAAAACACACACAUCAUCGCUAGUAUAAGACAAUUAUAUUCUAGAUUAAUUUUUUUAUGGUGAUAUAGCCCCAAAUAAAAAAUAUCUGGGUACUCCCAUAUCAAAAGAAAAUAAAAUUAAAAUUAAAAUAAUUUAAUAACAUUGAUCAACAUUAUUUAAUCAGAUUAAUCAGUCUUUAAGCAGGAUACUUAGUUUUCAAGAAAAAUUUACCUCAUAUUUUACUCAAAUCAGUAAAAUAUUAUCUAUGAUUAGAAUCGAUUGAUUUUAUUAUCAAUAGAAACAAAUAUCAAAUGAAAUUGAUUAAAUUAGUUUAAUAUAUGAUUUUGUGUGUAAAACAUAUGAAAAAUUUAAUUAAAAUUAAAAUAAGUAACUUACUUGGGUUGGUAUGACGGUGUUGGCUUGAGACUUUAAAACGUGUUUUUCUCAAAAUCUCAAGUUUGAUUCCCACAACCAAUUUCAGUAGGUUAGUUUUGUUUCUUAAAAAAAAAUGAUUUCACUGAAGUACUAUUAUUUACUUUAUACCUCAACAUGCGUUGAACCGCCCUGAUAACACUCGUAAAAUUUAGAUACACUUUAAAAAAUUGAGGAAGAUAAUUAUUACUACCUCCGUCCCUAAUUAUAAGUCAUUUUUGAAAAAAUAACGGGAAUUAAGAUAGUGGAUAUUUGUAUUAAAUAUGUUUGUAAUUACUAUUGUUUUUACAAUUUUAUCCUUUAAGAAAGAGGGUUGGCUUAUGUUUUCAACAUUCUAUUUAUUGCUGAUUGAAGAAAAAUAUGUAUAAUAAAUAGGGGCAUGUAUGUAAAGAAAUAAUUAAUGUAGUUGNNNNNNNNNNNNNNNNNNNNNNNNNNNNNNNNNNNNNNNNNNNNNNNNNNNNNNNNNNNNNNNNNNNNNNNNNNNNNNNNNNNNNNNNNNNNNNNNNNNNNNNNNNNNNNNNNNNNNNNNNNNNNNNNNNNNNNNNNNNNNNNNNNNNNNNNNNNNNNNNNNNNNNNNNNNNNNNNNNNNNNNNNNNNNNNNNNNNNNNNNNNNNNNNNNNNNNNNNNNNNNNNNNNNNNNNNNNNNNNNNNNNNNNNNNGAUUUAUUUUCGGUUUCAAGUCAAAAAUCAACAAACAGAAUCAAAUCGAAGAUUUCUAAAAAAUCUUGUUCGAAAUCUCCGAUUAAAUCACAGGUAAACAUAAAACUCCACCGUUCUUUCUUAAAAAGCAUCAAUAAGGACGAAUCCAUGUAGAUCCUCAAGGUUUCAAACGGUUUCUUUCAAAGAAUUUGAAAACCUAAAAAUAUUUUCAAAACCGUAACAAAAAUGUAGAUCUACAAAGAUUCAAGCCUUGCAUGUGAUUUAUGGCAUUAGAUUCAUGUUUAGGGUGAAGAAACGAGUAGAUUGAUGUAAGAUUCAUGGUUUUCUGGUGAGAUUAGAGGUCGCCGGAAACUGGAGAUCUCACCGGAGAAGAUGAAGAUUACGGCGGACCUAUGAAGGUUCCGACCAGAUCUUCAUCUUCCCCGGCCAUUCAUCCAUGAAUCCGGCGGAGGAAGUUAGAGAGAGAUGAGAGAAGUGAGAAGUUAGAGAGAGAAAGAACAUAAGCAAAUGAAAAAACCGGCGCUCCCUUUCUUUUAUAGGCCAGUGAACCGGACCGGUCCAGGACCGGUCCAAUUCCCUUCAUUCCUGGCCGUUUGAUCUAGGGUUUGAUCCCUUGGAUCAAUCCUGUGGUUCCUGUGCGUCCGGACCUCUUAGGCUUGGGCUUGGGCUUUUU
This 6385-nucleotide long non-coding RNA is filed under the name Medicago truncatula (barrel medic). RNAcentral describes it as "long non-coding RNA (MTRU_LNC001848)". The record is from RNAcentral. Lineage: Eukaryota; Viridiplantae; Streptophyta; Magnoliopsida; Fabales; Fabaceae.